UCCGUAGGCGGUGCGGCAAGUCGGAAGUGAAAUCUCUGGGCUUAACUCAGAGGCUGCUUCCGAAACUGCCGUGCUCGAGUGCGAGAGAGGCAAGUGGAAUUGCGGGUGUAGCGGUGAAAUGCGUAGAUAUCCGCAGGAACAUCCGAGGCGAAAGCGGCUUGCUGGGUCGCAACUGACGCUGAGGGACGAAAGCUAGGGGAGCAAACAGGAUUAGAUACCCUGGUAGUCCUAGCCCUAAACCAUCAGGACUUGGGGUUUGCCCUGUACGGGGCAAGUCCCGGAGCUAACGCGUUAAGUCCUGCGCCUGGGGAGUACGGUCGCAAGGCUGAA
RNAcentral lists this ribosomal RNA (330 nucleotides) under uncultured bacterium. Its description in RNAcentral is "bacterial SSU rRNA". It matches the Rfam family "Bacterial small subunit ribosomal RNA", at positions 568 to 898 of the family's 1533-position model. The record is from RNAcentral.